Dromaius novaehollandiae (emu) is the source of this 1715-nucleotide long non-coding RNA. RefSeq lists it as uncharacterized. The transcript has 3 exons. The record is from RefSeq and is a predicted model, not a curated record. NCBI's taxonomy places the organism in Eukaryota, Metazoa, Chordata, Aves, Casuariiformes, Dromaiidae.
CACCGACACCCCGGCGCGCACGCAGACUCACACUCACACGCACGCACUCGCACACACAUGCACACCCCCACACACACACACUCAUGCACUCACACAUGCACAUGCACACUCACACAUGCAUGCACACACACGCACACUCACGCGCGCAUGCACAUACACGUGCACACACAUGCACACUCACACACAUACACUCAUGCUUACAUGCACACACUAAAACAUACAUGCGCACACACACACACUCACGCACAUAUGCACUCACAUUCACUCGUGCUCAAACACACAUGCACUCACACACACACUCAAACAUGCAUCCACACGCACUGACACACAUGCAUACACACGCACUCACACACACACACACAUGCACUCACACACAUGCACACUCAAACAUGCAUCCACACGCACUGACACACACGCAUGCACACACACACUCGCACACUCACAUGCACAUGUACACACACAUGCACUGCCCUGUGUGAAAGGAUGUAGAUACCUGUGGCAGAUCAGGCCAGGAUGCAUGCGGAGGGCAAGGUGCUCAAACCCAUUGCUUGCACCGCCCCUGUGGAGUGCUGGCUCUGUGCUGAUGUACAAAGCAACUGACUGCAGCAGGACCGCAGCACACUUGCUUGCUUGCUCCGAAAUCCAGAGACGCAGGCAUUGAGAGAGGACAUUUGAUCCUGUUGCUGGGACUGGGACAAGCAAUAGCCUCCUCCCCUUCUCCUCCGCUGGUAGCCGGAGCAGCAAAGCCAGGUAUCAAGGAUUUUUCUUUCCAGCUCCUUGUCCAAGCUGUGCCUAUUUCUCUCCUGUAGCAUGAGCAGGAAGGCUUGUGGCUUCAGCCUUAGAGUAGCGUAACUCAAUUUUGUCUGCACUCCGGAGAAGCCUGGAGCUACCUCAGAGGGCUCUGUCAUCAGCUGAAGCAGAUUUUUCCUCUAAUUUUUGAAAUAGAGCUGUGGAAUUUUUUACAUCUCCAAGAAGCUUCUUUGUACUUCCAGGUCCCAUGGCCUGUGGGUGAUUUUUAUAGCAGUUAAGUCUGCUGGCUGCAAAGUGAAGUUAAAAUGAAAUAUGCCAUUGAUGGAAGAUAGAUGCCACCUCCCCUCCUCUUUAAUAUCAUAUCACAGAAUAAUUGGCAACUCAGAGCCCUUUGAUCUCCGAUGCUGUGGUGGGACCUGGAGAAGUAGAUGGCCCCAAACCAGAACGAUUCAGCCAUGAAAAUCUGCAAUAUGCAGAACCUCUCAGAUCAUCAGGUUUCUGCCUCUGAUGGAGGGGCCCUAACGGCCAUAGCCUGCAUGACAGAAAGAGUAAGGGCCUAGUCUAGCUGGUAUGAUGGAGACACACAUAACUGUUAAACGGGAAUCUGUAACUUUCUGCUUUUCAAAGCAUAUGCAGCAUUGGAGCGUGUGUAGCUGUGAUACUGAAGGGUGGCAGUUCUGGACCAUGUCAUUUACACUGAGCUGCAUUAGUUCCUUAGUUACAUGGUUAAAUAUUUUACUGGACAUUUAAGUGAUAUUUAUGGAUGUAAGCUGGUACAGCCUGAAAACUCUGAAAUAAAUUAAAGGGAGAGUUAAGAACUGUCAUGGGAAUAGCUAUGAGAUACCCUUACAGGUAGUACUUGACGGCACUGUUGAUCACUUAUUUAUACCUUUUAUCCAAAGGGUGUAAUAACUAUGUAAAGUAUUUGUAUGUAAAAAUGACUAAUAUACAUACAUGGGAAUGAA